Molecule: ribosomal RNA, 76 nt
Filed under: Deltaproteobacteria bacterium
Lineage: Bacteria; Pseudomonadati; Myxococcota; Myxococcia
Description: partial 16S ribosomal RNA
Rfam family: Bacterial small subunit ribosomal RNA
Source: RNAcentral
AAACUGGAGAGUUUGAUCCUGGCUCAGAGCGAACGCUAGCGGCAAGCUUAACACAUGCAAGUCGAGCGCGUGGCUU